AUUGAACGCUGGCGGAAUGCUUUACACAUGCAAGUCGAACGGUAGAGGGGGCAACCCCUUGAGAGUGGCGAACGGGUGAGUAAUAUAUCGGAACGUGCCCAGUCGUGGGGAUAACGUAGCGAAAGUUACGCUAAUACCGCAUACGAUCUAAGGAUGAAAGCGGGGGACUCGCAAGAGCCUCGCGCGAUUGGAGCGGCCGAUAUCAGAUUAGGUAGUUGGUGGGGUAAAGGCUCACCAAGCCAACGAUCUGUAGCUGGUCUGAGAGGACGACCAGCCACACUGGAACUGAGACACGGUCCAGACUCCUACGGGAGGCAGCAGUGGGGAAUUUUGGACAAUGGACGCAAGUCUGAUCCAGCCAUUCCGCGUGCAGGAUGAAGGCCCUCGGGUUGUAAACUGCUUUUGUACGGAACGAAAAGGUUUCUCUUAAUACGAGGAGCUCAUGACGGUACCGUAAGAAUAAGCACCGGCUAACUACGUGCCAGCAGCCGCGGUAAA
RNAcentral lists this ribosomal RNA (498 nucleotides) under uncultured bacterium. Its description in RNAcentral is "bacterial SSU rRNA". It matches the Rfam family "Bacterial small subunit ribosomal RNA", at positions 30 to 524 of the family's 1533-position model. The record is from RNAcentral.